AUGGCCGGGAGGAAGGGCGGCGAGAGGAAGAAGGCGGUGACCCGGUCCGUGAAGGCCGGGCUCCAGUUCCCCGUCGGCCGCAUCGGGCGCUUCCUCAAGAAGGGCCGCUACGCGCAGCGCGUCGGCUCCGGCGCCCCCGUCUACCUCGCCGCCGUCCUCGAGUACCUCGCCGCCGAGGUCCUGGAGCUGGCCGGCAACGCGGCCAAGGACAACAAGAAGACGCGCAUCGUGCCGCGGCACCUGCUGCUGGCCGUCCGCAACGACCAGGAGCUCGGCAGGCUGCUGGCCGGCGUCACCAUCGCCCACGGCGGCGUGAUCCCCAACAUCAACCCCGUGCUGCUGCCCAAGAAGUCCGCCGCCGCCGCCGAGAAGGAGGCCACCGCCAAGUCGCCCAAGAAGAAGGCCGCCGCCAAGUCCCCCAAGAAGAAGGCCGCCGCCACCAAGGAGUAG
This 450-nucleotide ribosomal RNA is filed under the name Triticum aestivum (bread wheat). RNAcentral's name for it is "partial small subunit ribosomal RNA". Lineage: Eukaryota; Viridiplantae; Streptophyta; Magnoliopsida; Poales; Poaceae. The record is from RNAcentral.